Non-coding RNA from Salmo salar (Atlantic salmon), 60 nucleotides. The record is from Rfam. Lineage: Eukaryota; Metazoa; Chordata; Actinopteri; Salmoniformes; Salmonidae.
GUGGCUCAGUUGGUAGAGAAUGGUGUUUGCAACACCAGGGUUGUGGGUUAGAUUCCCACC